UACGGAGGGUGCAAGCGUUAGUCGGAUUUACUGGGCGUAAAGGGUGCGUAGGCGGGUGUGUAAGUCAGACGUGAAAUUCCGAAGCUCAACUUCGGAGCUGCAUCUGAAACUGCACAUCUAGCGGAAUGGCGGAGAAAACGGAAUUCCACGUGUAGCGGUGAAAUGCGUAGAUAUGUGGAAGAACACCUGUGGCGAAAGCGGUUUUCUAGCCUACUCCGGACGCUGAGGCACGAAAGCAAGGGGAUCAAACAGG
Molecule: ribosomal RNA, 253 nt
Filed under: uncultured bacterium
Lineage: Bacteria
Description: partial 16S ribosomal RNA
Rfam family: Bacterial small subunit ribosomal RNA
Source: RNAcentral